RNAcentral lists this long non-coding RNA (1279 nucleotides) under Monodelphis domestica (gray short-tailed opossum). RNAcentral's name for it is "lncRNA (ENSMODG00000048066.1)". Lineage: Eukaryota; Metazoa; Chordata; Mammalia; Didelphimorphia; Didelphidae. The record is from RNAcentral.
AGUCUUGGCCGAGCUACGGGGGCCAGAACGUCACAGCGGCCGUGGGGGAUGGAGAGGCUCCACAUAAUGGGAGUGGAUUAUUUGGGAACAAGGAACCAGGGAUCAGCAGCGCCUUGUGUGUGCUGGAAGACCAGAACUGGGUCAUCCAAGGGGGAGGUGGCUGAGGACUCAAAGCCCUUGCCUGUUUGGAUCUCCACCAAACUAGGACUCCAUUUGACAGCUCUGCUCUGCCUCGUGUCUCCCCACAGCGCAUUAGCCCUGCCUCUGGUAGAAGACUGAUUUGGAACCUCAAUUCCUCCAAAGAACUGACGGCAAGAAUAUAAGAUGUCAUUAAAGAAUUAGAGAGGCAGAAAGAGAAGAUGGACUGCUCAUGUGGCAAGAGAGGAAUGACAGAUAAACAGUAUUCUACUGGUACCCUCUCAAUGUUGGGAGAAAGUGAGGAAGGCAACCAGAAUGGUAAACAGGAAUGAGAAAGAUCCAAGAUGGGCAGGCUUGGAGGAGCUGGGACGCAUAUUAUUGGAAAGAACUCCUGAACUGAUGAGAUCCCAGACCCAUUCAUAGAGGUGAGUCAGUAUAGAUUGCUCUCUUGGUUCUGCUUUCUUCACUCUGCAUCAGUUCAUAGAAGUCUUUGCAUGUUUCUCUGAAUUCCUCAUACUCAUUAGUUCUUCCAGACAAUGAUAUUCCGUUCUUUUUCUGUACCACUCUUUCUCCAGGAAUCUUCUAAGUGGCCUAAGUGACAGAUAUUCAUUUUGUGUUUUGAGGUUCUUAUUAUCAUAGAGGGUGCUAUAACUAUUUUGGUCUCUAUUGGAUCUUUCUGCCAUCAUCUUCCUUGCUUUUCACGAUUUUUUCAGUGGAAGGCAGAUGUUCUCUCCUUCCCCUAAUUUUCAUUGAGCACUUUUCUGGACCUCUCCUUUUUUAUGAAUCUUUUUGCAUUACACACAAUUCAGCACUUCAAUUGAAUGCAUUUUUAUUAAGUAUCUCUUAUGUCUAAGGAGCUCUUCAAGGUCCUGAGAGUACAGAAACAAAGACAGAGAAAUUCCUGCCCUCAAGGACCUUACAUUCUACUUAGAAGAUAUAACACAUAAGUAUAUAAAUAUAAAAUAAUUUCGAGAGGGAGAGAGUAUGUGAAUAAUAAUGGCAAAGUGUGGGGCAAGAGAAUUAGGAAAAACUUUUUGUAGGGAGGGCACUUAUGUUGAGCCUUAAAGGAAGCUAGAGAUUCUACAAGUUGGGGUGGGUAUGCUCUAGACAUUGUAUUUUUCUCUUUGUGUGUACUAUUUCU